This 282-nucleotide signal recognition particle RNA is filed under the name Microcebus murinus (gray mouse lemur). Its description in RNAcentral is "Metazoan signal recognition particle RNA (ENSMICG00000037272.2)". It matches the Rfam family "Metazoan signal recognition particle RNA". Rfam says of the family: The signal recognition particle (SRP) is a universally conserved ribonucleoprotein. It is involved in the co-translational targeting of proteins to membranes. The record is from Rfam by way of RNAcentral. Lineage: Eukaryota; Metazoa; Chordata; Mammalia; Primates; Cheirogaleidae.
GCUGGGGCUGGUGGUGCACACUGGUAGUCCCAGCUACUCGGAGGGCUGAGGCAGGAUCACAGAGCCUAGGAGUUCUGGGUUGUAGAACUAUGCAGAUAGGUGUCCCACUACAUUCAGCAUCAAUAUGAGGCCUGGAGGAUGACCAGGUUACCUUAGGAGGGGAGAACCAACCCAGGUCGCAAGAGGAGCAGAUCAAAACCCUUGGGCUGAUCGGUAGUAGGAUCGUGUCUGUGAGUAGACAUUGCACUCCAGCCCGGGCAACAGAGUAAGAUCCCCCUCUCU